RNAcentral lists this long non-coding RNA (403 nucleotides) under Homo sapiens (human). RNAcentral describes it as "non-protein coding lnc-TUBGCP3-10:1". The record is from RNAcentral. Lineage: Eukaryota; Metazoa; Chordata; Mammalia; Primates; Hominidae.
AGAAUCUUAUUCUGCUGUUUGGUGGUGGAGUGUCCUGUGAAGUCAAUCAGUUAGAGAAGGAAGACUUUGACUUCUGGCUCAAAUGGAAUAAUAGUGACCAGAUUUACCCUCCUGCCUGGUACAAACAAAAGUCCCGAAGAAACAAGACAAAAUAUAACAGUGAGUCUCAUAUACACCUGACAGCGGAGGACAGAGACCUAAGAGACUGGAGAAACCAAGGUGAGUCCUGCAGUUGCCCUGACUUACCAUCUGGAUGAAGCUGACAGUCUGCACAACAGGGAGCAGGGCCCGGGCAGGCGCGGCAAUUUCUCUGAGGUGAGAUGGAGCCGGUUGUCCUGGGAAGCUGAGGUGGCUGGAGUUUACAGCACAGAAUGUCCUAAGAGACACUAACUAAGCAGAGGAG